AUAGUUUUUUCUUUUCCUUUGUGCCAUAUCUUUAGCUAAGUCAACACCGAUUCAAGGAUUUGUAGGUCUUUGGGGACAACUUCCUUCCAUGGGAUUUUACCUCUACCCCAUCCUAUUUUCAUACCUUCCACUACUACGGUUUCACACGUAUGGACCGGGAAUUCUAUAGGUCGACACAGGACAUGAACAAACCAUCUCAAGUGGCAUUUUUCUUAUUUUAUCCUCAAUGUGUGCUACUUUCACCUUCUGACAAAUGUGGUCAUUUUUAAUCUUAUCCAAUCUUGUGUGACCACACAUCUGUCUUAGCAUUCGUAUUUCUUUAAUACUCAUCUUGUACAAAUGCUUGAACUUUAGCAGCCCCACAUUCGUUACCAUACAACAUAGUAGGUCUAAUAGUUGCUUUAUAGAGCUUACAUUUCACCUUGGUAGGCAUCUUUCGAUUACAUAACACGCUUGUAGCACUUCUCCAUUUCAACCAUUUGAUUAUAAUAACAGCUUCAUCUAUUUGUUCUAUUCUCUUGAAAUAACGAGCCUAAGUAUCUUAAAAAUGUGGCACUACAGUUGUAUCUAGUCUCACCUCAACUUCGCUCUUUUCAUGCUACCUAAAAUUACAGUGCAUAUACUCAGUCUUACAUCUACUUAGCUUAAAACCCUUAUUCUCUAAGGUGUUUCCCAUAGCUCAAGAUUUCGGUUGACACCCUCGCUACUUUUGGCAAUUUUUAUAAGAUAAUCAGCAAAUAGCAUGUCCCAUGGGAUCUCAUCUUGUAUUUUGUUGGCUAACUCAUCCAUAACUAGGGUAAAUAGGUAGGGGCUCAAUACAGAGCUUUGGUGUAAACCCAUUGUUAUGGGAACUCUUUUGUAUCCUUUACUACUACUUUGACUCUAGCGACAGCUCCUUCAUAUAUGACAUUUGUAUAUUUAAUAUGAAUUUAUUUCUUCUCCUUCAUCCAUCAAAUAACCUUAUGAGGUACUCAAUCAUAUGCUUUUCUAAGUCAAUGAACACCAUGUGUAGAUCUUUCUUCCUUUCACGUUAAAUUUCCAUCAAACUUAGCACUUUUGUUGCGUUCCUACAUCUAGGCUCUAUUACUCUUUGGUCUUUCUCGGAGUUCCAUUAUAUGACUCCUUGAGUUUAAUGCCAACUCAUUUAGCACAACUCAUCAUCAUUAUUAUUACCAAAAUAAAAUAAAAGUAUAAGUAAAAAACGAUAAAUGUGUAUAAAUAAUAGCAAUAAGAAUAAUGAUAAUAUACACUCUUUGUCAAGUCUAAAACCUAUUCCCAACUAGUAUGUAUCGCCUAUAUAGUUUUUUCUUUUCCUUUGUGCCAUAUCUUUAGCUAAGUCAACACCGAUUCAAGGAUUUGUAGGUCUUUGGGGACAACUUCCUUCCAUGGGAUUUUACCUCUACCCCAUCCUAUUUUCAUACCUUCCACUACUACGGUUUCACACGUAUGGACCGGGAAUUCUAUAGGUCGACACAGGACAUGAACAAACCAUCUCAAGUGGCAUUUUUCUUAUUUUAUCCUCAAUGUGUGCUACUUUCACCUUCUGACAAAUGUGGUCAUUUUUAAUCUUAUCCAAUCUUGUGUGACCACACAUCGAUAAUUCGCACAACUUUGAAUAUCUCCUUUUUCCUUCUUUUACUUUCCAUCUCCAUACAUUCUCUUGGGAAAUGACCUUCCUUUGAGUGUUGUGAUUAGAGCUAAUGGUUUUGGCAUGUUGUCAAUUGGGUGUCAUUAUAUUCUUUCAUGUUUUCAGCUGUUUGAGCAAGUAUUGCCCUUCUCUCUCCUCUUUUCUUCCUGUAAGUAAUCAGGAAAUAUGGGAAUAG
This 1823-nucleotide long non-coding RNA is filed under the name Nicotiana benthamiana. RNAcentral describes it as "long non-coding RNA (NBEN_LNC008888)". The record is from RNAcentral. Lineage: Eukaryota; Viridiplantae; Streptophyta; Magnoliopsida; Solanales; Solanaceae.